This 354-nucleotide ribosomal RNA is filed under the name uncultured Azospira sp. RNAcentral's name for it is "bacterial SSU rRNA". It matches the Rfam family "Bacterial small subunit ribosomal RNA", at positions 1028 to 1382 of the family's 1533-position model. The record is from RNAcentral. Lineage: Bacteria; Pseudomonadati; Pseudomonadota; Betaproteobacteria; Rhodocyclales; Rhodocyclaceae.
AGGGUGACAGGUGGUGCAUGGUUGUCGUCAGCUCGUGUCGUCGAGAUGUUGGGUUAAGUCCCGCAACGAGCGCAACCCUCGCCUCUAGUUGCCAGCAUUCGGUUGGGCACUCUAGUGAGACUGCCGGUGACAAACCGGAGGAAGGUGGGGAUGACGUCAAGUCCUCAUGGCCCUUAUGGGUAGGGCUUCACACGUCAUACAAUGGUCGGUACAGAGGGUUGCCAACCCGCGAGGGGGAGCCAAUCCCAAAAAGCCGCUCUCAGCUCGGAUUGCAGGCUGCAACUCGCCUGCAUGAAGCCGGAAUCGCUAGUAAUCGCGGAUCAGCAUGCCGCGGUGAAUACGUUCCCGGGCCUU